Molecule: ribosomal RNA, 501 nt
Filed under: uncultured bacterium
Lineage: Bacteria
Description: partial 16S ribosomal RNA
Rfam family: Bacterial small subunit ribosomal RNA
Source: RNAcentral
AUUGAACGCUGGCGGCAGGCUUAACACAUGCAAGUCGAGCGGGGGAAGGUAGCUUGCUACCGGACCUAGCGGCGGACGGGUGAGUAAUGCUUAGGAAUCUGCCUAUUAGUGGGGGACAACACCUCGAAAGGGAUGCUAAUACCGCAUACGUCCUACGGGAGAAAGCAGGGGAUCUCCGGACCUUGCGCUAAUAGAUGAGCCUAAGUCGGAUUAGCUAGUUGGGGGGGUAAAGGCCUACCAAGGCGACGAUCUGUAGCGGGUCUGAGAGGAUGGUCCGCCACACUGGGACUGAGACACGGCCCAGACUCCUACGGGAGGCAGCAGUGGGGAAUACUGGACAAUGGGGGGAACCCUGAUCCAGCCAUGCCGCGUGUGUGAAGAAGGCCUUAUGGUUGUAAAGCACUUUAAGCGAGGAGGAGGCUACUUUAGUUAAUACCUAGAGAUAGUGGACGUUACUCGCAGAAUAAGCACCGGCUAACUCUGUGUCAGCCGCCGCAGUAA